UUUCUUAAGUUGCGGUCCUUUUGGCCCCUCAGGGACACUGUAGAGAUUCCUUGGUAGGAAUGUUGACAAUGCUGCCAGCCUGACUGCUCAUCACGGCUUUCAUUACCCGUUGAAGGUCUGGCUCCUGGGUGGGGUCCUCAUAGACGUCAAAACUAGCCAAGCUCCGAGAGCCAGUUAAAGUAGUUCUGGCAUGUGACAAGGAUUCCUUCUGGGCGUCUCCCAGGUGAGGUGUACUGGCCGUGUCCAACCAGGAGGAAGCCCUGGAUCAGACCCAGGACCUGAUGGAGUUCCCCUGGAUAAGCUGGAGGAGGUGGCUGUGGAGAGGGAGGACACCAGGAGAGAUGAGCAUAUCUAGCCCACAUCUGCAGAAACUGUACUUAAGAGAAGUUGGGACAAUGUUAAAGACUUCAGGCAAUUGCACUUGGAUUAUCUA
Oreochromis aureus is the source of this 433-nucleotide long non-coding RNA. RefSeq lists it as uncharacterized. The transcript has 3 exons. Lineage: Eukaryota; Metazoa; Chordata; Actinopteri; Cichliformes; Cichlidae. The record is from RefSeq and is a predicted model, not a curated record.